ACUACUCCUAUCAGGAGGGGAGAACCGGCGAAAGUCGGACUAAUACCGCAUGAAGCAGGGGCCCCGCAUGGGGGAUAUUUGCUAAAGAUUCAUCGCUGAUAGAUAGGCAUGCGUUCCAUUAGGCAGUUGGCGGGGUAACGGCCCACCAAACCGACGAUGGAUAGGGGUUCUGAGAGGAAGGUCCCCCACAUUGGUACUGAGACACGGACCAA
RNAcentral lists this ribosomal RNA (212 nucleotides) under uncultured bacterium. RNAcentral's name for it is "partial 16S ribosomal RNA". It matches the Rfam family "Bacterial small subunit ribosomal RNA", at positions 124 to 334 of the family's 1533-position model. The record is from RNAcentral.